CUGUUUUUAAGCUAUAAUUAUAUAGCUAAUUGAAUAAAAGUGCUGGUGCGUGGUAGCCUGUCGGGGCUUGUGCAAUGAAACCCUAUGAACCUCGUCAGGUCCGAGAGGAAGCAGCGAUAAGUAGACCGUUCCAUGUGCCACGAGGUAACCUGUCAGGCUAUCAUACACGAGUACUUUUACGCAGAUAGUAAAGCAG
This 196-nucleotide signal recognition particle RNA is filed under the name Megasphaera vaginalis (ex Srinivasan et al. 2021). Its description in RNAcentral is "Megasphaera sp. BV3C16-1 Bacterial large signal recognition particle RNA". It matches the Rfam family "Bacterial large signal recognition particle RNA". From Rfam's summary of the family: The signal recognition particle (SRP) is a universally conserved ribonucleoprotein involved in the co-translational targeting of proteins to membranes. Lineage: Bacteria; Bacillati; Bacillota; Negativicutes; Veillonellales; Veillonellaceae. The record is from Rfam by way of RNAcentral.